AUGAAGGAAUUCCAGAGCAUCUUACAUGUGGACAUGGUUGUAUUUAUUUACGUGGCAGUCCCUUUUCUGAAUCUUCUUGUAUCAGCCAACAACGAUGCAUGUUCCAACUACACCAGUAAAUACCACCUUUACGCCUGCAUCCCCAAGCGACGCCGAAAGAUCCGUUGCGUUGCCGACGGGCUGCACGACCAUGCUUGGGCUCGUGAUAUCCAUGGCAACCUGGGCGUUCAUGAGAUUGGCCAACAUCUCCUUCUAUGGCAUGCGAUCCAACACACUACCCUCUCGGAAGAGCCGGACCAGCUUGUCUGGAGAUGGAGCGCGAGCGGGAGGUACACUGCCCAAUCAUGCUACCUUGCCACUUUCCAGGGAUCAACCAGCUGCAGCGCCUUGACACUGAUCUGGAAGACCUGGGCUCCGCCAAAAGUGAAGUUUUUUCAUUGGCUAGCCAACCUGGACAGAUGCUGGACUGCCGAAAGACUACAACGCCGUGGCCUGCAGCACCACCCCUGCUGCGUCCUUUGUGACCAGGAACCAGAGACGAUGCAACACCUUCUUGUCACAUGCCCCUUCUCGAGGCAGGUAUGGCACGACACCCUUGCCUGGCUAAGGAUGACGUGCAGACCACCUGACCGGGUCUUUUUUUCUGGGUAA
RNAcentral lists this ribosomal RNA (651 nucleotides) under Triticum aestivum (bread wheat). Its description in RNAcentral is "partial small subunit ribosomal RNA". The record is from RNAcentral. Lineage: Eukaryota; Viridiplantae; Streptophyta; Magnoliopsida; Poales; Poaceae.